CCUACGGGAGGCAGCAGUGAGGAAUAUUGGUCAAUGGGCGUAAGCCUGAACCAGCCAAGUCGCGUGAGGGAUGAAGGUUCUAUGGAUCGUAAACCUCUUUUAUAAGGGAAUAAAGUGUGGGACGUGUCCUAUUUUGUAUGUACCUUAUGAAUACUGAUCGGCUAACUCCGUGCCUGCAGCCGCGGUAACACGGAGGAUCCGAUCGUUAUCCGGAUGUAUUGGGUUUUAAGGGUGCGUAGGCGGCCUUUUAAGUCAGCGGUGAAAGUCUGUGGCUCAACCAUAGGAUUGCCGUUGAAACUGGGGGGCUUGAGUAUGUUUGAGGCAGGAGAAAUGCGUGGUGUAGCGGUGAAAUGCUUAGAUAUCACGCAGAACCCCGGUUGCGAAGGCAGCCUGCCAAGCCAUGACUGACGCUGAUGCACGAAAGCGUGGGGAGCAAACAGGAUUAGAUACCCCUGUAGUC
Molecule: ribosomal RNA, 460 nt
Filed under: uncultured bacterium
Lineage: Bacteria
Description: partial 16S ribosomal RNA
Rfam family: Bacterial small subunit ribosomal RNA
Source: RNAcentral